Molecule: ribosomal RNA, 481 nt
Filed under: uncultured bacterium
Lineage: Bacteria
Description: partial 16S ribosomal RNA
Rfam family: Bacterial small subunit ribosomal RNA
Source: RNAcentral
GACGAACGCUGGCGGCGUGCUUAACACAUGCAAGUCGAGCGGAAAGGCCACUUCGGUGGUACUCGAGCGGCGAACGGGUGAGUAACACGUGAGUAAUCUGCCCCUGGCUUUGGGAUAGCCACCGGAAACGGUGAUUAAUACCGGAUACGACCACUUCUCGCAUGGGAUGGUGGUGGAAAGUUUUUUCGGCCAGGGAUGUGCUCGCGGCCUAUCAGCUCGAUGGUGAGGUAAUGGCUCACCAUGGCUUCGACGGGUAGCCGGCCUGAGAGGGUGACCAGUCAGACUGGAACUGAGACACGGCCCAGACUCAUACGGGAGGCAGCGGUAGGGAAUAUUGGAAAAUGGGCGGAAGCCUGAUCCAGCAACGCCGCGUGAGGGAUGACGGCCUUCGGGUUGUAAACCUCUUUCAGCAGGGACGAAGCUCAAGUGACGGUACCUGCAGAAGAAGCACCGGCCAACUACUUGCCAGCAGCCGCCGUAA